RNAcentral lists this small nucleolar RNA (117 nucleotides) under Meriones unguiculatus (Mongolian gerbil). RNAcentral's name for it is "Small nucleolar RNA SNORA17 (ENSMUGG00000022281.1)". It matches the Rfam family "Small nucleolar RNA SNORA17". From Rfam's summary of the family: snoRNA ACA 17 belongs to the H/ACA family of snoRNAs and is predicted to guide pseudouridylation of the 28S rRNA at positions U4659 and U4598. It shares the same host gene together with ACA43. NB This family has a high threshold value to exclude a large number of closely related sequences that do not appear to have conserved H and ACA boxes, and may be pseudogenes. The record is from RNAcentral. Lineage: Eukaryota; Metazoa; Chordata; Mammalia; Rodentia; Muridae.
CCUGCUCCUAGAAGCCUGGCAGGUGUGGCUGCUGGGUCACAUGUGUCAGUAGGUGGCAGAGGAGAGAGACUCAGUGUUCUGACCUAUGAACAUCUGAAUGAUUAAGAGCCUAACACC